This 1382-nucleotide long non-coding RNA is filed under the name Homo sapiens (human). Its description in RNAcentral is "HSALNT0383879". Lineage: Eukaryota; Metazoa; Chordata; Mammalia; Primates; Hominidae. The record is from RNAcentral.
AGGCGGCAGGCAGCGCCAGCAGCAGCAGCCAGCGCCAGGGACGCGGCGCGAGCGGCCGGAACCCGGGCCCGCCGGCGCCCCCCGCGCCCCCCGCGCCCCCCGCGCCCGCGGCGGUGUCGGUGGCGGCGGCGGCCCGGGGCGGCGGCCGGGGCCCGGGCGCAGGCGGCGCGCGCGGAGGCAUAGCGGCGACAGGCUCGCGCGGCGCCCGAGCUGCGAGUGCGCCGGGGGGUGGAGUGCCGCCUUUUAAAGCCGCUCCGCGCCGGGGAAGCGCCGCCGCCGCCGCCACCGCCGCCGCCAACACCGCCGCGGGCGGGAGCCGGGGAGGAGGAGGCGGCCGCGGCGCGUUCCCGCCCCCGGGCCCGCGCUCCUGCGACCGGGCUCCGGGGCCGAGAGCCGUCCGGGAGGCCCGAAACGCCCCCCACCGGGGGAACUUCCCCGCCGACUUCUGGGGCUCUCGGGACGCGGUGCCGCCCCAGAGGCGUCCUCGGCCCGCGAGUUCUGCUGGGAGCGGGGAGGCCCCGGCGUCUCAGGUGAGUCCCCGGUUCCCUAGACCGGCCGGACACCCGAAGGCCGCACUCACCUGGCGGGGGCCUCAGACGCCUGGCGGCCUCGCCCGCCUCCCUAGACGGAGGGCUCGCCCGUGUGCGGGGUCCCAGGGAGAAGAAGCUGCGGGGAAGACAGUGGGUCGCCCGGGACCAAGCCUGGCUGAAGGGACACAUUGAGCGGGGCAAAGGCAUGUGGCGCAUCAGCCGGGCUCACGAGCGUGUACCCGAGAAACCACCGCACGGAGCCCAUGGCGGAGGCCGCGGCCCAUGCUGGGAGGCAGGCCGUGCAGGUGAACCCCCAGGCCGCGCAGGUGAACCCCCAGGCCGCGCAGGUGAACCCCCAGGCCGUGCAGGUGAACCCCCAGGCCGCGCAGGUGAACCCCCAGGCCGUGCAGGUGAACCCCCAGGCCGUCCGCUUAGCCUCGCUGCGAUCUUGGGCAAAUGACUGUGGUGGCUGAGGGCAGGCGCCCCACCUGCAAAAUGCGGGGAACAGUGGCAUCUACCCCGUCGGGCUGAUUUGAGGAUGAGGUCAGCUUUUGCUGUACAAUAAGCUGUCCGUAAACGUUCGUUUUUAUGAGCCCAGGGCCUGCCGUGUGGUAGGUGUUCACUAGACGAUGUACACUCUUAAAAGCACCCACUGAGCUGGGACCAGCAGUAGAAAGUCAGCUGAAUCAUCCUCACCCCUGCUUCCUGGAGCAGCCUGGUAUCCAGUGGAUAAUGAUUUGAAGCACCCUGGAGAUGGAUGGAAAUGUUCACACCAUAAUCAAGGAAUUAUGAAGGGUGUGAGUCACCCCUAAUGGAGGUGGGAGAACAGGAGGCGUGGUGGGAGGCCCCAUC